This 236-nucleotide unclassified non-coding RNA is filed under the name Hevea brasiliensis (rubber tree). Lineage: Eukaryota; Viridiplantae; Streptophyta; Magnoliopsida; Malpighiales; Euphorbiaceae. The record is from RNAcentral.
GAGAGGGUUUAGGGAGUGAAAUUGGUGCAGAGAAGCUAUUUGAGAGAAAAAGAACCCUGCUUUAGACCAAUAUAGAUCACAGAGCAACAGAUACACAGAUUUCCAAGAAACAUAAAUGCAAAGAGCAACGGCUGUUGGAGUCAAUCACUAAAGAACGUUAAAGAAAAGUGUUAUAGAAAUAUGUACAACUCCCCAUGAAAGGAAAUGAAUUUAGAAAGGGUUUCAGCCAUGGAUAU